UUACAUUUAUUCUCAUGUAAGUUAGCUUUGAGAAAAUUUGACAUAUUGUAGCAGUCGAGGUUUGUGAAGUCUUAACCACUGCCCAAGAUAUUUGUUUUGCCAUUUUGUAUUCAUGUUAGAAAUAUUUAAAAUAUACUACAUUCUUUCGUGGCCUUUUACCAUCGCAUCUACAUUUCAAUUGACAUGAACUUCUGUAAUUGCAUAUGAUUUUGUGUAUAUAGCGGAAAGUUUCAAAACAAAGUGCAGUUGCAUAUGAUUUUGUGUAUAUCGCGUAAAAGUUUCAGAACAAAAUUCAUCUAACAACUGACAACUCAAUCCAGCGCAAAAAAAAAAACAACUGACAACUCAAAAACUAUCCCCUCGCAGAAAAAAAAACAACUCAAAAACUAUCAGUGAAGCCCAGCUCAAGCAUCAACAUCUCUGGUCUAAGAAGAGAACAAGAGCUUCGCAAUUCUGUGUCCAGACAUCACGUAUGCAUAUAUCAACUAGAUGUACCUUCUCCUUGCAUAAACUACUUUGCUACGAAUCAGGUCUUGGGACAACUUAUCAAAUAAUACUAAAAUACAAAAUAGCUAAUUAAUCCAUGUGGCGCGGCGUGGCGGCGCGCACUACCCGCUAGUAUGUUUUAGGGUGCAUGGAAUAGUACACAAACAAAACAGGAUGACACAAGAAAUUCCACCCACAUUUAUUUCUGAUUGGUACAAACUAAAAAGACUCAACUGGCCGACGUAAAAAAAGAACACACUCACACCACACACACACACACACACACACACAAGCAAAUAAAAGCAAGCAAGGAGCAGGUGAACAUCAACCGCUUGAAACUAACAUGCAAGAAGCACACAUAUUAAACGAACUAGAGGUCGAGACAUCCCGCGCGUGGGCUACCAUGCUUGAUCACGUGGACUAUCAGUGGCUGAUCACGUGGGCUAUCAAUCGCCACCUGACAUAUUCCUCAUGCUUGGAUCUGGAUCUAAUUACAUUCCUCAUGUCUAAUUAUAUAUAUUCUUGGAGUUCGUGAUAUUCUAUAUCUGUGCAUGAUGACAAAAUCUCUGCCCAUUGCUUUGGAUCGUCCCAUUUAUUUAUUUUAUCCCGUCAGAGGAUAACUGUACGACCCACGCUCUCUUGUGCACCGUGGUCGGGGAUGCGCUGCGUCGACUCGCGUCUUCCAGUGCUGGAGCCGAGGCUGUCUAGGAGCGCGCUUGGCGGCGGAGCUCAAACGGGCGUGAACAGGAGGCGGCACGCUGGACGCCGGAGCUGUCGAGGUUGGCAGUGGUGCUCGGCGUGCUGGCCGAGGCGGCAAACUCCAUCAACGGAGAUGAGAACACUGGUCGUCCGGUUCAAGAAGGCAGGAGAACAGAGCCGUGGCGGGGAUGGUUUCGCGAAUGUCGGCGGCGGGCGCCCGAGGUCAAGGACGCAGCCAUGGCCCGAUGGCCGACGAUGGACACCGGCGGAGCGACAGCAAGGCCAGAUGAGAGAAAAAAAUACGCGUUCUUCUUCAGCUCGACCCAUCUUGCCCUGUCCAAUAAAUUUUGGGUAGCUCCGCCAUUUAAUUGAGAGAAAAUUUCUUAUUUGAUACUACUUUAAAAUGUGAUUUUCUAUUUAGCUGUGGAGAAAAUUGCUUCCCUUCUUGACAAUCUAGUUUUAAUUUCUUUCCCAAUAUGACACCCGAGUGCAUUGUGUUCACUAACGGUGUUAAAGACAAACAUGAAAAGACCUUUUUAUCCCUAAUGCAUAAGGUGACUAAAACUCUAUACAUGGCAAUAUCUAUGAUUAUGUUACAUAUUUGGUCAUGUCAAAUGACCAAUUGAGAUCUUAUAAUUUUGUCAACGAACUGAUUUCAAUCCAAAAACCUUUGAUUUUAAUUUAAAAAAAAUGAAAAUUGGGCAGAGCCGUAAUUUGAUCCCAGAUCUCUCUCUCUCCCUCUCUCUCUCUCUCUCUCUCACACACACACACACACACAAUAUGCAUCACAACAUGAACAACUACCAGAAACAUCCAUGUUCACACAUACAUUACAUUUAGGUUCACAUUCAUCACAUAAAUCAGUACUAGUUCACAUGCAUCGCAUACUGUUUCACAUAUAAGGUCAAGUCCACAAGUACUCCCUCCGUUUCUUUCUGCUUUAUAGAAAAAUAUGAACAUGUACAAUACUAAAACUAUAUAGUAUGAAAAUACGUUUCAUGAUGCAUCUGAUAAUAUUGAUUUCAUAUUGUGAAUGUUUAUAUUUUUAAAUAUAAAAUUAGUCAAACUCUACAAAGCUUGACUUUGACCAAACCUUAUAUGCGGACUAAAAAGAAACGGAGGGAGUACAUCACAUUAGCAGCACAAAAAAAACUCCAAAAGUAACCAUGACAUUAAAAAAAACAUAUGUAAAUCACACGCUAAGCCUUCUUUUGCUUCUUGUGCUCAUUGAAGGGCUUGUAAGGUUAAAUAUUUUGCUUCUUGUGCACAUGACCGGCCGGAGAACGGAGUACUGUGUCACGCAGCGCUAUCAAGUCGACCAAUCAGGUCGAAUCACACGGAUUGUGUGCUUCUUUAGAACGGUGUGAGCCGCUGGAUUUUGUAUAGAUAACAUAUCUAGGAAAGCUGUGCGUGUGUUUAACUGAGAUAUUAACGCUGCUUUUGGCUGAGAGGAAGCACUUGUGGUUGCAUGCGUGCAUUGGUUACCAACACAGCUUAGGUUAAAUUAACAAGCUAGAAUAUAUAUAUAUUGGGUACUGCCUCCAUCCUGAUUUAUUGAUCCUAUUGUAUUCGUGUCAAUUUUUUUUGAGAGUAUGCUUAGGUGUACAAUAGCUUUAGAGAAGGCAAAAUUUGAAUUACAAGAAACAACACUCACUGCGAACAACGAGUAUAGCACAACACCACACCCGAGCAACAACACCGCAAAGCAAGCUACAACACAAAGGGCCUAUCCUAAUCGAAACUCAACACCGCGUCUCGAUCGACGUCCGACACCUCCAAAGAACACCAACUUCCGCGGAGCUUCACUUGUCGACGCACCAUCCACUCUUAUCGCCUAAGAGGAAGUGGCAAGUGGGUGACAGGACUCGAUCCGGUUCGAGGAAGGCGCCGUCUUGGACACACCGGCGACGAGUGUAUAUAGCGCCGCAGAGGAUCAAGGAGGACAGUUGCAAACACCGGAGGAGAGUGACAAGGAGACGGCCAUGUCUCCAAACACAAUGCUCCCAGCAGAGGACGCCACCAUUGUGUCGAUCCAACCGAAUCGAGGCUUUCGCCCGGAGACAGCCACAACUCCAAGUGAGUGUGGGAGGUGACAGCACGCCUCCACGACACCUCCAAGGAGUGGAAUGGCAUCCGCGACUGUGUCAAAUUUUGAUCAAUGAUUUAACUAACAAAUAUUAAUGAAUGUCAUCAAAUAUAAUAUCAUCAGAAACUAUGUUGAAAUACGAAUCCAAUGAUAUAAUUGUUGGUGACAUGCAUGAACAUUUUAUUAGUUAAAUCUUUGGCCAAAAUUUGGAACCAAAUACAUUGAGGACCAAUAAAUUAGGACGGAGGUAGUACUAAGUACCUUUUCAAGAGAUUUUAUUUUUUAUUUUUAUAUAUGGCGCUCAUAUAGGCCGGCACAGGUUCCAUUUUUUCAAGGUCAUGUUUUUAUAUUAUUUUCUCCAUUUGGGAAAAGAAAUGAAAGAAAAAAAUAGUUGCCAUCAAACUUAAAUAAAGUAUUAGUUCAUUUAAAGGAAAAUGUUGAGCCUGUUUUUGGAAACUGCUUCACGUGUAUUACAAGAUUGUACACAUAUUUUUGAAAACGUUUCAUGUGUAUUAAAAAAUAGCAAGCAUGUUUUUGAAAUGAUUCACCUAUAUUAAAAAAUAUCAUAAAAUUAUGUAUCUUCAUUUAGGACCACAAGCACACACAGUUAUUGUGUAUUUUCAGUGCAUUCUUACAGUACGCAAUUAUUGAAAAAAGGCAAUGUUGUAUUUUGAAUAUUCAACAUGUAUUUAAAAUUAUAGGGUAACGCUAUUCUAAGUGUGAGCGUAGAAUAGCUUAUUCUACGCCCCCUAGUAACACUAUAUACAAAAUCUAGUAAAACAGUGUAUAAAAUAUAGUAAUUCAGAAAAUAUUUAUUUUACUACCCAAGUUUAUAAUUUACUACAAUUUUACGAAAAUUACUAUUUUUUCCAUAGCAUGUUACUAUAUUUUGUAUGUACCGUUACUAGGGUGGUUAUUCUACACUCACGCUUAAUUUAGUGUUACUAUAAAUGUAGUUUUAUAUUUCAUAUAUUAGGUAUUCUAGAUAUAAAAUGUUUUUUAAUUUGACUUUUGGAAAAAUUCAUAUGCACUACAUUUUAGAGCGGAGGGAGUACAAUUGUAGCUCAUUAAUCUACGAACGGAGGGAGUACCACCCUAGCAAAGCUUGAAUCUGGAUGUACUUAUAUUCCUCAUGUCUAAUUAUAUACAUUCUUGGACUUCGUGAUAUUCUAUAUAUGUGCAUGAUGACAAAAUCUCUGCCCAUUGCUUUGGAUCGUCCCAUUUAUCUAUUUUAUCCUCUGAGAAGAUAAUUGUACGACCCACGCUCUCUUGUGCAUGCAUUCCAUUGUGCGUGUAUAUGUGGAAAAAAAGCUAUCCUUGUUUGAAUACGUGUAGUAUGGUCACGUACUGUCGACCGAUCUGGAUGGUUGUUGAUUCCGACCGACUACCUCCUAUUUUAUCAGGAUCAUACCGGAUCUAUCCCGUACCAUACUGUUCCUGACAUUAUCAAUCCGUCUGUAUGCCUGCCUGCACACAUAUAUACUACUCCCUCCGUAAACUAAUAUAAGAGCGUUCAAAUUACUACUUUAGUUUACAGAGGGAGUAGUUAAUAUUCUUUCCGUCUCAAAAUAAAUCUAUUGGUAGCUUUGGUCAAAUUAGUUGUUUCACCAGACUUAUACAAAAAACUACUAAUAUUUGGAUUAUCAAAUUAACACUGUUAAGUUCAAUAAUACUAAUUUAAUUUCAUUAUUUUUUAUUUUUUUUCUAUAAGUUUGGUCAAACAACUAGUUUGACUAGCCCCUAAAAAAACUAGCUUGACUAGAGUUACGAAUAAUAGGCUUAUUUUGAGACUAAAGUGGUACUAAGUAUCUCAAGACAUACACAUACUAUACAACACUUAUACACACUAUUAAUGAAUUCAUCAUGGAAAACAUAAUAUUAAUUAAUAGUUAUGUCGAUCGUUUCCUUUUAUCUCUAACCAUAACUAAUUAAUAUACCCCGCAAAAAAACUAAUUAAUAGUUAUGAAGACAUACACUGUAAGGCCUUCCCUUCCAGGAAGUCUGAAUUAUUGCAUACUAGUCCCUGGAACAGUAGCUGAACAACUCACAAAAUAGCAUCAUAAUCAUACUUUGAAUAUAAUAUAGGACCAAAAGUCACUUACAUUAAAAAGGCUCUCAAGCCUGAAAAGAGUACAUUGCAGCGGCGAAGCAGACAUCCCAUGCCUACAGGCAGGGGCGGAGCCAGGCUACAGUGAAUAACAGUGAUCAACAAUGUAAAAACGCUAGUAGGUAAAUCCNNNNNNNNNNNNNNNNNNNNNNNNNNNNNNNNNNNNNNNNNNNNNNNNNNNNNNNNNNNNNNNNNNNNNNNNNNNNNNNNNNNNNNNNNNNNNNNNNNNNNNNNNNNNNNNNNNNNNNNNNNNNNNNNNNNNNNNNNNNNNNNNNNNNNNNNNNNNNNNNNNNNNNNNNNNNNNNNNNNNNNNNNNNNNNNNNNNNNNNNNNNNCUCCGCCACUUCCUACAGGCAGCUUGCACUAGUAGGAAAAGUAGCGUGCGUAAGCCCUGCACCGCUCGAAGCCCUAGCGUGUCGUGAAGCACUAGCUCUUGCGCAGGACCUUAGCAUCAACCGUAUGUGCAUUGCAUUGGACUGUCUGGAAGUGAUCAACAACCUUUCGCAAUCUAUCUUAUUGUUUUAGAGAUCAAGACGAUAAUAUCCUCUCUUUUUUUUCAUUUGAGAAGGCGGUGUUUUGACAUGAAAGAAGAGCUCCAAUGGAGAAGCCCAUCGAGUGGCUCGUAGCAGUGUAAGCCAAGGAACUGAACGCCGUCCGUGGCUCCUGAAUCCUCCGACCGAUUUGUGUAUUCCUAAGGAUAUAUUAUUAAUAAUGAAUAAAGAGUGGUUGAACACUAAAAAAAAUACGUUCGCUAAAAAGGUUUUGCACGUACUUUUCCCUAAACAAUGCUUACUGGUACGUUCCUAAAAAGCAAAGCUUUGCAAGUAUUCCCUACACUAGUAUACUAGUAUCUGUACCAAAAUCAAGAACAUUACGUACUUCAAACAAAAAAUUCUAAAUUGUAGUACUUGAUGUUUGUUAAAAGAACUAGUGCUAAAAAUAUUUAAGAAAGAAUAAUGUGUACGAAAACCCCGUACAUGAACAUAUAUAGGAUUUUGAACUUUUUUAACCUAUGAAUAUUUUGUAUACAUCAACUUAUAUUUUUCAAAUCCAUGAAUAUUUUUAAACACGUGAACAUAUAAUUUUCUUGAACCCAUAAGCAAUUUUUUGAACCUCGUGGGCAAUUUUUUGAAUCGAUGAACCUAUUUUCUAAUCCAUGAACAUAUUUUUCGGAACCCAUGAACAUUUCUUUUGAACCCAUGAACCUUGUUCUGGAAUCCUUGAAGAUUUAUUAAUUCUGGAUUAAAAUUUUAGAACCUUGUGGACAUAUUUUUAAAACUUCAUGAACAAUUUGUAAAUAUGAAUGAAACAUUCUCCGAAUCCAUCAACACAUUAUUUUGAACCCAAGAACAAUUUUUUGAACCUCAUGAAAAAGUUUUCCAACUAUGUGAAUAUUUUUCUAAUAUGAAUGAUAAUACUUUCCAAAUCCAUGAACGUAUAUUAUGAACCCAAGAACAAAUUUUUGAACCUCAUGAACUUUUUCUAAAACUACGUGAACAAUUUUUAAAUAUGAAUGAAACAUUUUGGAAUCCAUGAACAUAUUAUUCUGAAACCAAGAACAAAAUUUUAAACCUCGUGAGCAUUUUUUAAACGACGUGAACAAAUUUUAAAUAUGAACAAAACAUUUUUAAAAUCCAUAAAAUUAUUAAUUUGAACCCAAGAAUACUUUUCUCAAACCACGUGAACACUUUUUUAACUAUGUGAACAGUCUUUAAACAAAACAUUUUCCAAAUCCAUGAACGUCUUAUCUUAAACCCAUUUUUUUUAAAAAAAAAACUCGUGUCCCUUUUUCUAGAUCGAUGAGCCUAUAUUUUAAGUCCAUGAACCUAUAUAUAUUUAAAAUGCACGGAAAAAAUUUAAUAUCAAAAAAAUAAAGGGAAAAGGAAAAUGUAAUGAAAGAAACAAAACAUAAAAAGGGAAUAGAAAAUGAAAUAAAAGAAAAAAGUAAUAGAACAGAAAAAAAGGAAAAAGAAGAAAGAAGAAACAUAACAAAACCAACGUAGAAAACCGGAACAGAAAAAUCAACCAAGCAGCGAAACUAGCGUUGCAAAAAAGAGGUACUGUGGAGUGAAAUGAGCCGGCCCAGCGGCCCAAUUAUUUAGGCGACGCGACAGUUCUGCGCUGCAUCAAAGCGGUAUAUAAGAUCUGCCAGCGUCGCCGCUUGUAGAAUCGACACAGUUGGGCUGGACUGUGUGAAUCGGGCCACAUGCAUCAUAUAGGUGGCAAUAGCUGGCCCAUUUUGCAGGGGCCUAAAUAUUUAGGCCCAUUAUGAAGCAUCCAGUCACACCGCAGGAACCAGUCUGUGUGCUGCUGCUGCGGUCUAGCUCAUGAGUUGCUGCUACAGUACGACCCAAGAUCUGGCAGCACCUGCCAAGUUACACCGGGCCAAGACUCCGCGAGAACGGUACUCCCCACCGGUCGGGAUAAAAACAAUUUCAAUGGCACGACACGCUUGCCCUCGCAAAUACUUCCUCCGUUCCUAAAUAUUUGUCUUUCUAGAGAUUUCAACAAGUGACUACAUACGAAUCAAAAUAAAUGAAUCUACACUCUAAAAUAUGUUUAUAUACAUCCAUAUGUGGUAGUCCAUUUGAAAUUUUAAAAAAGACAAAUAUUUAGGAACAGAGGGAGUAGCAACAUCUCGAUGGCGGUGCCGACAAUCACGAGACCAUCGAGCGAGACGAUGGAAAAGCUUCUGACUGCUGGUGGAAGGAAGGCCAAGAAGACACAUGGUCACCAGAUUUUAGGAGUUAACGGUAGAACGGGGCUUAUUGGACGGCACCGACGAGGAUGUGCAGCUGGCGCAGCGAGCUGAGGCAGCCGGCAGGGUAGACGCGGUUGUUGCAGAUGAUCAUGUUGACUCGCUGAUGCAAAGUUCGUGUUCCGGGCGUCAUCACCCCCGGUGAUAUUGGCUACAGGUUGGCGGUCAACGUGUUUCUAUUCCAGGAACGUAUUGCACGUACGUUGAACCGACUCAGCACAUGAAUAUGUUUGUUAGAGAAAAGGGAUAGAGCACCAGUUUAAAAUCUCUACUACUUAAAAAGAACUUCCCAUUUCAUCUUUCUUCCUACCAUCCCUUCGUCCAACUUUACAUGUAUAUGAUAAUCAAUCAUCUUAAUUUACUUAUCUUCUGAACGAAUUCCACUUUAAUCUACUUACCAAACUUCUAAUCAAAAUAUAAGAUAAUUCAUAGAUAGAAUUUGAUGAACAUUAUUUACACAAUCGUAUUAUUAUUCAUAGGUAAAUCACAAAUAAACGUACCAUAAUAUUUAUAUCCAGUUGCAACGCACACGGGCAUUGUUCUAAUGAUAACAAAAAGGUAUAAAAGGUCAUACCUAUUUGGGCACUUUAGCAAAGUGCCACAAAAGGUCAUAACUAUUGGGGCACAUUGGCAAAGUGCCAUAAAAGUCAUACCUAUUGGGGCACUUUGGCAAAGUGCCACAAAAGGUCAUAACUAUUGGGGCACAUUGGCAAAGUGCCAUAAAAGUCAAACCUAUUGGGGCACUUUGGCAAAGUGCCACAAAAAGCUUAAUAGCUAUUGAAGCACUUUGUCAAAGUGCCACAAAAGAUCAAUCUAUUUGGGAACUUUGGCAAAGUGCUAAAUGUCAUAAUUAUUGGGGCACUUUGGCAAAGUGCCCCUAAUUGGAAGCUUUUAGGGCACUUCAAAAAAAAUGCCCCAACAAAGUGCCUCUAAAUUUUGACCGUGGUGUAGUGAUAGCUCGAUCAAUGCACUCCUUCAUCGCUUAUGCCCGAGUUAUUUUUCUACGAAGCACUCCUUUAUAGAGCUUGAUAAGUUGGAGUCCUAGCUGGUGUGCUGGACUCAAUCGGCCAGCACAAAGCAACUUGAUCAUGCCAUUGGUCAUGUGUACUACCAAUCACCACCUAGCACGGGAUAUUAUUCCUCGUGUCGCGCUCCUUUCAUACAUGACGAAUCACGUGUUACACAUUAGCUACCAAUCGCCAUCUAUCCUGCUAUAAAUGGAUCUCAUGUUUCUAAGGCAGGAUAAUGGAUCUCAUGAUCAUAGUGAGUUAGGCACACGUCGCUAUAUAUGCACUGAGGAUCCAAGUGAGCUGAGGAAUAUCAUCGUGCAUUCGUGCCUGUAAGCACAUCCCCUCCCCGAUUGUUGUGGACACAAAAGAAUAUAUAAGUGAAGGUGGGUGCACUCACACUCCAGUGCGUGCUUUAUUAAAACAUGGCACUUCUAGGCGAGAUGUGUGGUGACAUGAUGCAACGGUUCACAAGGCGGCAUUCAUUAUAUUAUCACAUCAUUAUUAAUAUUAAAUGUGUUUAUGUAGUUUAUAUAAAUAUGCAAAAAUAUUUGUAACUAAUAAUCAUUUUGCCCACUUAAGAAUCACUUAAGCUUAAGCAUCUCACCGUGGUGAUUGUGUGUACCGAUGGAAUCCCUGAAAUAUAGAAAAGUGAGUAAUUACGACUAUCAGUUAUUCAAUAAAGUGGCAAGUUCUUAUCUAACUGCAUUUGUUUUAUGAAGAUGUUUGGAUGGAGGAGCAAAGGAUUUCAUUCUGAAUUAUUUUUACAUCAGUUAUUGAUUCUGCUAAUACAUAUUCUACCUCACAUCACCCCGUCAGAAACAAGUUUGUUUUAGGUAGCCCAUGUACUCAAACAAGUUCCCCCCAAAAAAUCCCCACAAAAAAAAAUAAGUUCCAAAAUCCCGGGUUCGCUUUUCCUGACAGAAAAUUGAGUGCGUUUUCACUGAAGUUGUGCUUGUGCUCAAUCAAUCUUCAGCUGUGUAGACUUCACUCAACCUGGUUCGCAGAGGCUGUUCAUGUGAAGACUGCACUUCAUGUGUUCGGUUCUUGAGUGUGAUGCUUCCGUCGAGUACAUCCAUGAAAUGAAUUAUUUUACUUCCGUGUUCUACUCCCGUUUCAGUCUUUUACGAUGCUAUAAAACAGGAUCACAAGCAUUGAAUAUACAUAUAUUGUAAAACAAAAAUCGGAGAUACAUGAGCACGUCCUCAUGAUUUUGCUGUGCCGCUUCAGCAGAAUAGAAGUGCAUCUGACAAACGAAAGAAGGUAGUAAGAAUAUCAUCACUACUUCCACAACUUCAUAUGUCAAAAUGAUUUUCCAACCAAUUGCAUGCAUCUUCCAGAAAAAAACAACAAUGAUUACAUGCAUAUGUACCGGCUCUGCACUUAUGCAGAACACACAAUCUUCCGGCCCAAUGAGGACAUGAAUAGGCCGUCCAAGUCGGCAAGCUAGCUCCAAGCAUCGUGACACACGGUGUCAGGCGGCUCAGGCGUCGCCUUCACGGUCGUCGCUGGAGUAGUGGAGGCGCAGCGCCGGCGCACGCGGGUAGUGGAAGACGGCCUAGUUGGUGGCACGCGGCAACCCACUCGCGGUAGACCGGCCCGCAGGUAGCUUCCCUCGCAGACCCGGCGAUCCCAUGGGUUGUUUGGGUCGUGCAGAUAGCAUGGAGAUCGGAGUUCUCUUUGGCCACUCCAUCCAUGUCGACAGACAGCAGAGCGGAAUAAUAUAGUUUGUUUUGGGAUGCACGGAAUAAUAUACAAACAAAACAGGAUGAAACAAGAAAUUCCACCCACAUUUAUUUCUGAUUGUUAUUACAAAUUAAAAAGACUUGACUGACAUAUCAACGUUCUCAUACAUAGAAAAACAGGACACACUCACAUGACACACACAAGCAAAAAAAAAAAAGCAAGCAAGGAGCACGUGGACAUCGACCGCUUGAAACCAACAUGCAAGAAACACACAUAUCCGACGAACUAGAGAUCUUGCAUGCACGAAGAGACCUC
RNAcentral lists this long non-coding RNA (11143 nucleotides) under Triticum aestivum (bread wheat). RNAcentral describes it as "long non-coding RNA (TAES_LNC021474)". The record is from RNAcentral. Lineage: Eukaryota; Viridiplantae; Streptophyta; Magnoliopsida; Poales; Poaceae.